RNAcentral lists this ribosomal RNA (222 nucleotides) under Triticum aestivum (bread wheat). RNAcentral describes it as "partial small subunit ribosomal RNA". Lineage: Eukaryota; Viridiplantae; Streptophyta; Magnoliopsida; Poales; Poaceae. The record is from RNAcentral.
AUUCAAUACAUCCUUGAUAGGAUUAGAGCAAGGCUUGUGGGAUGGAAGGGCAAGCUAAUGACUAUUGCGGGCAGAAGGGUUUUGGUGCGCAGCGUGCUCACGGCGCUGCCCACCUUCGCUCUGUCCGUGCUCCGGGUGCCAAGAAAAUUUCUUGCUGAGAUUGACAAAGUCCGAAGAAGAUUCCUGUGGGCUCAAGAAGACGAACUCAGCGGUGGAAAAUGC